CCUACGGGAUGCAGCAGUGAGGAAUAUUGGUCAAUGGGCGCGAGCCUGAACCAGCCAAGUAGCGUGAAGGAUGACUGCCCUACGGGUUGUAACUUCUUUUAUAAAGGCAUAAAGUGAGGCACGUGUGCCUUUUUGUAUGUACUUUAUGAAUAAGGAUCGGCUAACUCCGUGCCAGCAGCCGCGGUAAUACGGAGGAUCCGAGCGUUGUCCGGAUUUAUUGGGUUUAAAGGGAGCGUAGAUGGGUUGUUAAGUCAGUUGUGAAAUUUUGCGGCUCAACCGUAAAAUUGCAAGUGAUAUUGGCAGCCUUGAGUAAAGUUGAGGUAGGCGGAAUUCGUGGUGUAGCGGUGAAAUGCUUAGAUAUCACGAAGAACUCCGAUUGCGAAGGCAGCUUACUAAACUGCCACUGACAUUGAUGCUCGAAAGUGUGGGUAUCAAACAGGAUUAGAUACCCUGGUAGUC
This 459-nucleotide ribosomal RNA is filed under the name uncultured bacterium. Its description in RNAcentral is "partial 16S ribosomal RNA". It matches the Rfam family "Bacterial small subunit ribosomal RNA", at positions 338 to 795 of the family's 1533-position model. The record is from RNAcentral.